GAUGAACGCUAGCUACAGGCUUAACACAUGCAAGUCGAGGGGUAACGAGAGGAAAGCUUGCUUUCCUUGUCGACGACCGGCGCACGGGUGAGUAACGCGUAUCCAACCUGCCCCCAACUAAGGAAUAACCUUGCGAAAGUAAGACUAAUACCUUAUAAUUUCCUCAGAUGUCAUCUGACGAGGAAUAAAGAUUUAUCGGUUGUGGAUGGGGAUGCGUCUGAUUAGCUUGUUGGCGGGGUAACGGCCCACCAAGGCAACGAUCAGUAGGGGUUCUGAGAGGAAGGUCCCCCACAUUGGAACUGAGACACGGUCCAAACUCCUACGGGAGGCAGCAGUGAGGAAUAUUGGUCAAUGGGCGAAAGCCUGAACCAGCCAAGUAGCGUGCAGGAUGACGGCCCUAUGGGUUGUAAACUGCUUUUAUACAGGAAUAAAGUUAGCCACGUGUGGUUAUUGUAGGUACUGUAUGAAUAAGGACCGGCUAAUUCCGUGCCAGCAGCCGCAGUAA
This 505-nucleotide ribosomal RNA is filed under the name uncultured bacterium. RNAcentral's name for it is "partial 16S ribosomal RNA". It matches the Rfam family "Bacterial small subunit ribosomal RNA", at positions 28 to 523 of the family's 1533-position model. The record is from RNAcentral.